GACGAACGCUGGCGGCGUGCCUAAUACAUGCAAGUCGAGCGGACUUAACAAGCUUGCUUUCUAAGUUAGCGGCGGACGGGGGAGUAACACGUGGGCAACCUGCCUGUAUGACUGGGAUAACUUCGGGAAACCGGAGUUAACACCGGAUAAUCCUUUUUUACUCAAGUAGAAAAGCUGAAAGACGGAUUACGUUGUAACAUACAGAUGGGCGCGCGUCGCAUUCGCUAGUUGGUGAGGUAACGGCUCACCAAGGCGACGAUGCUUAGCCGACCUGAGCGGGUGAUCGGCCACACUGGGACUGAGACACGGCCCAGACUCCUACGGGAGGCAGCAGUAGGGAAUCUUCCGCGAUGGACGAAAUUCUGACGUGGCAACGCCGCGUGAGUGAUGAAGGUCUUCGGAUCGUAAAACUCUGUUGUUAGGGAAGAACAAGUACGCGAGUAACUGCUCGUACCUUGACGGUACCUAACCAGAAAGCCACGGCUAACUACGUG
RNAcentral lists this ribosomal RNA (494 nucleotides) under uncultured bacterium. RNAcentral's name for it is "partial 16S ribosomal RNA". It matches the Rfam family "Bacterial small subunit ribosomal RNA", at positions 28 to 507 of the family's 1533-position model. The record is from RNAcentral.